GAUGAACGCUGGCGGCGUGCCUAAUACAUGCAAGUCGAGCGAACAGACGAGGAGCUUGCUCCUCUGACGUUAGCGGCGGACGGGUGAGUAACACGUGGAUAACCUACCUAUAAGACUGGGAUAACUUCGGGAAACCGGAGCUAAUACCGGAUAAUAUAUUGAACCGCAUGGUGCAAUAGUGAAAGACGGUUUUGCUGUCACUUAUAGAUGGAUCCGCGCCGCAUUAGCUAGUUGGUAAGGUAACGGCUUACCAAGGCAACGAUGCGUAGCCGAACGGAGAGGGUGAUCGGCCACACUGGAACUGAGACACGGUCCAGACUCCUACGGGAGGCAGCAGUAGGGAAUCUGCCGCAAAGGGCGAAAGCCUGACGGAGCAACGCCGCGUGAGUGAUGAAGGUCUUCGGAUCGUAAAACUCUGUUAUUAGUGAAGAACAAAUGUGUAAGUAACUAUGCACGUCUUGACGGUACCUAAUCAGAAAGCCACGGCUAACUACGUG
RNAcentral lists this ribosomal RNA (497 nucleotides) under uncultured bacterium. RNAcentral's name for it is "partial 16S ribosomal RNA". It matches the Rfam family "Bacterial small subunit ribosomal RNA", at positions 28 to 507 of the family's 1533-position model. The record is from RNAcentral.